This 2823-nucleotide ribosomal RNA is filed under the name Triticum aestivum (bread wheat). Its description in RNAcentral is "partial small subunit ribosomal RNA". The record is from RNAcentral. Lineage: Eukaryota; Viridiplantae; Streptophyta; Magnoliopsida; Poales; Poaceae.
AGCCUUAAGGCACCUUCAGAUCAUCCUAUACUCUGACUCUGAACCUUUUUUACAUGAAUGAGAGUCACUUUGGCACCAGAGGCGUAAGUCGACCCUCUAAUACUCGGUGGCGGCUGAGAAGGAGCGAUGAGACAGGCACGACGAAGACCGUCGCAGCCCGCAGCGGCGCUUGUUGUGUAACUGUGCCGCCUCACGGUAGCCGCCGCUGGUCUCCGACCAGAGCGGCCCCCUGUAGAAGGUCGAGCCGGAGAAGGGGUAGCGGUUGCCGUGGUUCACCAUGGAGCCGUAUACCAAGUGGCAGAGGGGCCGGCGGCAGUAGACCCAGCGGUUGGCGCUGGCGGGCGAGUUGCGGAGGAGGAGGCCGUGUCAGUGCGACUCGCCGCGUCCUCUGGAGCACGAGGAGCUGCGGCGUUCGUUGUUGCUCUGGCAGACCAGCAGGUUGAGGAGCCGGCGCCGCGGCAGACGCCACCGCGUCGAGCUGCUGUUGCCGUUGGAGCACGAGCGCCUGCGCCGGCCGCGGCACGACACCGUCUCGAAGCUGGUAGGCUGGUUGUGCAUGCACAGGCUCUACGCCUAGCCCUUCCUGCAGCCCUGGCCCCGGCUCACCAGGGAGAGCAGCACCGCGGUGCGGAUGCUGGGCAGUCGGUCGCUGAAGGCGAUGCAUUACCUGUGUGCCCCGAGCGGCCUCGACGUGUAGACCUCCUUCCCUGCGUUCUGCAUGGCCUGCCCCGGCACCUUGCCCGACGCGAAGUCGCCGUAUGGCCUCUACCGGUGGAUGUUCCCGUACAAGCUCAAGGUCAAAUGGCUGUGGCGGCUGCUCCAGAGGAUGUACAUGGUGCGCACGCUGCCGAGCGGCGGCAGGGCGCAACAGGAGGUACUCAGACCACACUAUUUCGCGUACCAAACCCUGUCGCGCCGCGAGUCCACCUCUUCGAAGACCAGCCCCGGCUCCCUGCUCACGCUGGCCAUGCCGCACACGCCGCGCAAGCCGCAGACGUUGCUCCACCUGCGGCACCACACGUCGACGCAGACCCCGAAGGACGGCUCCAGCGGCCACCUCACCCCGUACGCCUUGCGCAGGCCGCCCACGCGGGCGUCGUGCGGCGACGUCACGCCCCCGCCGCGGCCGCUGCUCCUGCCCAAGGUGCGGGACGCGCCGCACUUCGACGGACUCUGCGUGCCGUCGUCGCACCUGCGGCCGCGGAGCGAGCUCCUCACGCCGGCCUCCACGGACCGGUUGACGAGGACGUGCCGCAUGCGGCGCAGCCUGUAGGCACCACCACCACCUCCCUCGCCCACGUAAGACACCAAGCCGCUCGACCACCUGUGCGCCAAGUAGCUGCCGCCCGUCCUAGAGAAGCAGUCCGACCGUUUCAGGCUGGAUCUGUGACGCUGACGUAGAUGUCUCGGUCAGUUCUGAUUCUUCAAACAGCGUCAGUAGUGAUAUAACUAUUAUCCCAAACCCAAUGAAGACGAUACCGAACCGAAGAACUAAACCUUUUUCCAGACCGCGUCUUUUCUUCGAUGGUACAAACUACUGUAGUACUCUCCGCUGACGGGCUGUAUGGUAAAACUUUGGUAAUCUCGGCGGUGGCCACCUAAGACGGGGCUCUUACUUUAGCCCGCACCACCGAAGCCGUAACAAAUGUUCCCAGUUUACGUUCUACCGGUCCUUUAACGUCACUUCUUCAACAGUUGACUAUUGUCUCACGUUCCGGACUUUCUCAAGUUCUUGCUCCACCUGGAUUAACGGUCCGACGUUGUAGCGUUGGAACAUGCGAACGAACCGACGACGUAGGUAACGAGACUGUCCUAUGAGCAGAUGCUCAUGUACUCAUUGUUCUCGAACCUAUCGAAGUAGAAACUAGACUCCUCCGCACGGUGAAACUCGACCUUCUGAUCCUACCUGUAGUAGGAACUGUAACGGUCUCCCGAAGAGAUGGAAGUGGUCCUGAGCUCCGUGUGAUACUAGGUGGCUCUAGAGUUCCGCCGGUUACAAGAGGAAUUACCCCUCUACCGGCGGUUCUAUAGCCUAAAGCCUUAGCGUUUCGACAAGUCGUCGUAGCCGUUGUUGGUCCUAAGGUGGCAGUGCCUUUCCUAACAACCCUGUAUACCAAUGUACCGUGGGCUCAUGCGGUACCUACCGUACCAUAGUAAGUACGUCCUACACAUGUCGAAACCACACAACGACGACCUCUAGCAGUCACCCUCCUCCUUGGUUGCUUUAAAGUUGGAGUAUCGAGUACGUACCUUCGAUAAACUUCUUUUGUUUACGGAGUUCGAGGAACUGGGUUGACACGCGCUAGUUACGAAGGAUCGCCUCGAUCUCGUCCGUAGCUGCACGUAGGUCCAUCCCGACAACACGCAAGUUCUCUCGGGCUCGGUUGCGGGCGUUUACCGACAACACUAGGGGUACGACAGUGUCGUAGUCCACGGUACCGCCGGUGAAGCCGGCCACCAGACGCACGGCCACUCGUGAGGCCGGCUGGAAGCGCUGUACUUCCUCCUGUGCAGCCCGUUGAAGCUCUACUAGUAAUGCCUGGAACUUCCGGCCAUCGAUUUUACGUACCUACCUGUCUACGUACAGUUCGACCUUGGCUUCUAACUUCUGUAAUGACUACUGACAAAUUUACAUUAGCCCAUCCUGUCCACGUACGUGAACCACCGUACCUAGAUGUGUUCACACUGGAGAAUUAGACAUUUUAUUACGGAUCCAAUAAGCGCCUCUGACGAUGGUUUAAACUAUUAUCACCUAGUUCCCAAUUCAGUACCGGGUAUUAAACACAGAUUCUCUACGGAUAAGCAUUCUGGACCCGGUGGCUA